Non-coding RNA from Podarcis lilfordi (Lilford's wall lizard), 72 nucleotides. NCBI's taxonomy places the organism in Eukaryota, Metazoa, Chordata, Lepidosauria, Squamata, Lacertidae. The record is from the annotation of a GenBank genome assembly.
GGGCUGUAGCUCAGUGGGUAGAGCAUUUGCUUUGCCUGCAGAAGGCCCCGGGUUCAAUUCCUGACAGCAUCU